GCCCUCUCGGCGCCGCCGCGCUCUCGUGGCUGGCAGGAGGGCCGACUGCUUCCAAUGAGUUCCUUCCUUCACUCGUUCAGCGGAUACUAACACUCUUACUGCUCUGCCGCCUGGUUCCACCACGAAGGGUGCCUCUCACACGAGAGCUCAGCACGGUCAGGGGAUGCUUGUGGCAGAAGCGUUGCUAUGGAGAAGGCUCCGGAGACAAGCUGACGGCCAUGGGGAGAGGGUGCUUAAAUCAUCUCAGGUGCAUCCACACUAGGAAACUGUGCAUCUGGAACAGAAUGAGGGCCUGAUGUGUACAUACACUGUCAGGCACCAGAAACAGUGCGAGGGAGAGAAUAUUACAUGUUUAUACACACAGAAACCUUCUGGAAGGAUCCACAAGGAACUGUUUGCUAUGAGUCCCCUUAGGAGGGACGAGAAAUAUGAAUUUUCAUUGUAUACCCUUUUACAGUAUUUGGAUUUUAUUUUUUAUCUAUUUUUAUUUUUAAAAGUCUCUUGGGGCG
Suricata suricatta (meerkat) is the source of this 509-nucleotide long non-coding RNA. RefSeq lists it as uncharacterized. The record is from RefSeq and is a predicted model, not a curated record. NCBI's taxonomy places the organism in Eukaryota, Metazoa, Chordata, Mammalia, Carnivora, Herpestidae. The transcript has 3 exons.